Diceros bicornis minor is the source of this 4174-nucleotide long non-coding RNA. RefSeq lists it as uncharacterized. The record is from RefSeq and is a predicted model, not a curated record. Lineage: Eukaryota; Metazoa; Chordata; Mammalia; Perissodactyla; Rhinocerotidae. The transcript has 3 exons.
UGUGGGUGGGCCUCAUCCAGUCAGUUGAAGGCCUUAAUAUAAAAAGACUGACCUCCCCAGAAGAAGACCGAGACUUCCAGCAGACUGCGUGUGAACUCGAAUUGAUACAACCCAGGAACAGCCCAAUGAAGAGAUAUAUAGGGUGAGGUCUGAGAGAGUCUUGAACACAGAGCUUCUGUGCCCGGUCCUUGUAGAAUCAGGGCACGUAACCUACCCAGGACAUCAAUGUGUUCACCAGCCAGUCUCCGGAGUUCACUAAUCUGGGAGUCUGCAACUCAUAGUGUGUAUGGCCAAGAGUUUUCUGGAGAAAUGCCAGGCAUGGCUGAAGCAUCAACUUUCUGACUACUGGGGGGAAAAGCAGCCCUCACUGCCACCAUCGUUCAUAAAAACUCUGGAAUUUGUUUGCACAAAGAGCUCAUUGAGAGCUGACAGGUCUGCUACAGCCAUUCCUUUAUUCCCAUGGAGGAAGCGUCAGGAAAACCAGCCGUCCUCCUUGUGCCAUUUCUGCAAAUGCAGCAUUCGAAAGCCUGCGCCUUGUGGGUGAUCAGCAGGCCUGGCUUCCCAAAGGGGUGGAGGCGACAGAGCGAGUCUGGGGAGAGAGCCCAAGACUUGAGUCAGGGCCUAACUCUGCCAACUGAGACAAGCCACUGAGCCACCAUCUCACCUACAGGAAGCUUGUGUUAAUCAGCUGAGAAAAUGGAGGUGAAAUUGCUGUGUGGAUUCAGAAUCUCUUCACAAAUGCCGGCGACCCUGCCCUCCCUCCCUCAAGUCUUCCCCGUAGUCCCAGGAUUUCUGUCGACAGAAAAGCAAUCUUUAUUUGCUCUCUUCUUGUUUGGAUUCUUUUAAAAUGCAAGCACCUCCUAGAAGGCAUAAUACAUCAAAGUAAUCCCUACUAAACACAUGGGGCUUCCCACACGCUUUCUUUCUCUCCAGAGGGAUCAGGUGGCUAAGGAUGGAUAAUGACAAGAGAUGACUAAAAUGUUGGGAAAAGUCAUUUUAAAAAGGAGGAAUGCCCACUGAAUAAUAGAAUUGUAAUAGCCUUGCAGAUUAUAAGGAUCAGUGGUUUUUGAAGUAAAAUCUUAGGCAGGUUUCUUUUACAUAAAACAGAAAAAAAAAAACUUCUCACUCACCAUCACAGCCUCAGGCUGAUGCCUCUGCAACUCAAAAGGCCCCUCUGCGGGAUCCCAGGGCUCCGAGGAACAGAGUUCUAAAACCUCUACUUACCCUUUACCUUAUAUACUGGAGGCCAGUGGCCUCCCAGAAGAGAGAUGGAAAUAUAGCCACUCUCCUAAUCUAGUGCUCAUGGCUCUACAUAAGAACAAAAUAACAAAAAUGAACAUGUGAAGUCUUACUAUAUGCCAGGCUCUUGGCUAAAUUACGUGCAUUAUCUGAUUUAAUCUCUAAACCUUUGUGAAGCAGAUACUGUUUUCCAGAUGAGGAAACUGAGGAUUAGAGAGGGUAAAAAACUCGGUAAGAGGGGCUGGCACGGUGGCAUAGUGGUUGGGUUCACAUGUUCCGCUUUGGGUCUCAGGGUUCUGGGUUUGGAUCCUGGGCGCAGACCUACACACCGCUCAUCAAGCCAGGCUGUAGCGAUGACCCACAAACAAAAUAGAGGAGGAUUUGCACAGAUGUUAACUCAGGGACAUCUUCCUCACCAAAAAACAAACAAACGAACGAACAAAAACUCAGUAAGAAACUCAGCCUGAGGCCUGUGUGGCUCUAGGACUGAUAUUCUUAACUCCGUGCUCUAGUGCCUCCCGUCAUAUUGUUUCCCUGAAGAAAAUUUGUAUUUGUCUCUUUCUGAGACACCACAAAUGUCAUCUAGAAUUUCUGUAGAUUCUAGAUUUGGAUUUCAAUAGAGAUUUGUCUGCAACACACAUUGUCUUCAGUCUGGAUUUAUGUUUUAGAAGAGGGAGAGUUUGAAUUAAAACAGAAAGUUCGUUUAUGGGUGUAACAAGUAAGUGAGCCUGCAGUCUUAGGCACAAGAUGAGCUUCUAUUUUCCUCCUGUGUUGCCAGCUCUGGAUCAUUAUUUUUUUCUUUUCAAAUUUAGCAUAGCUUACUGAAUAAAAGAAGAGGGGAAAAGUUGACAUACUGCAACAAAUAAAAUACCCUACCUUAAAGUCUGAAAUUCAGAUGGGAAAAUUACUCUGCAAAGCAAAAUAACAUUGAGUCCAUUAAAAAAAACCCAAACCUUAGCUCAUCAUGGAAAAUUUUAAGUGCUCUCUGACAGAGAGAAAGAGAAGGAAAAAAACCAAAUGAAUAAGGACAUUCUUUUUUCAGUUUAAACAGCGUCAGAGAAAGAAGUGAAAAAUAUUUGAUUCUCUCACUGGCAGGAACAGACAACCAUUUUCGUAUUAGUCACCAGUGAAGUCAUUAUUCAUUUGGUUCUGACAGCUACAGAAUUAUAAAAAUAAUAGUAUUUUAGAACUCUGAAAAUUCUACCCAACGAUAAGCCAGCCUUCCCUAGAGACAGGAAGAUGGGAAAAUGGAGCAACUGACAGACAGGCAGCGUGUGCUGAUUUUAAUGGGUUGUCUGUCUCAUUCGUGUUCAUUUGCAAGAGCUCUUUGUUUGUCAGAGACACUAACACUUAACUUUGCACUACAAAUUUUUUUGAAGCAUAUUUUUUUGUCAGUUGAUUUUUUACCUGGCACAUUUUCCAGAUACAGUUUUUUCGUUUAUUUAUGUUCACAUAUGUCUGCCUUUUUAAAAAUAGCUUUUGGGAUUCCAGACUCAAUUAGGAAGGUGUUCCUCAUCUCUACAUUGUACAUGCUCUAGCUUUUCUUACACUAUUUUUUUGUUUUAGUUUACAUUUGAACCUUUAUUCUUUAUGCAAUUCGUAUCAUUUUGUAUUUUGUAGCAUACAAGUCUACUUUUAUUUUUCGUGACUUGAUAGUUGUGUUAGCAUCAUUGAUUGAAGUAUCCAUUCUUAUCUCCUUGAGUUGAAAUAGCACUUUCUUUUUUUUUUGCAAUUUUCCACAAUGCCUCUUUGUUUUCUUUUCUGUUUUUUUCUUUUGUGAGGAAGAUCAGCCCUGAGCUAACGUCCAUGCUAAUCCUCUUUUUGCUGAGGAAGACCGGCUCUGAGCUAACAUCUAUUGCCAAUCCUCCUCCUUUUUGUUCCCCAAAGCCCCAGUAGAUAGUUGUAUGUCAUAGUUGCACAUCCUGCUAGUUGCUGUAUGUGGGAGCGGCCUCAGCGUGGCUGGACAAGCGGUGCAUGGGUGUGAGCCUGGGAUCUGAACCUGGGCCACCAGUAGUGAAGCAUGCACACUUAACCGCUAAGCCACGGGCAGGCCCUGAAAUAGCACUUUUGUCAAGUGUUAAGUUUCCAUAUUUACUGAGAUAUCUUUCUGGAUUCUCUAUUCUGUUCCACUAAUCUAUUUAUUUCUCUACAAUACUCUACUGAUUUUACUAUAGCGGCUUUAAAUGUUCUCCCUACCCCUUACUAUUCUUCUUUUGCAUACAUUCUUAGCUAUUCUUGGGCAUUUAUUCUUUCAUAACAAUUUUAAGACUCCUAUUUGUGUUUGUGGUAGACGGACUAUUGCCCUCCCCCGAGUAUGUCCACCUCGUAAUCCCUGGAACCUGUAAAUUUUAUUUUGUCUGGCAAAAGGGACUUUGUAGAUGUGAUUAAGUUAAGGAUUUUGAGAUGGAGUGAUGAUCCUGAAUUAUCCUGUGGAUCCAAUGUCAUCACAAAAAUCCUUAUAAGGGGGACACAGAAGGAGUCAGAGUCAGAAGAGAAGGCAAUGUGAUAACAGGAGCAGAGAUUGGAGUGAUGUGCUUUGAAGAUAGAAGAAGGGGCCACAAGCCAAGGAAUACAGGUGGCCACAAGAAGCUGAAAAAAGCUGGAAAAUGGAUUCUCUCUUCAAAGCCUCCAGAAACAACCAGCCCUGCCCAUACCUUGACUUUAGCCCUGUGAAACUGAUUUUAGACUUUUACCUUCAGAACUGUAAGAGAAUAAUUGUGCUUUGUUUUAAGCCACUAAAUUUGUGGUAAUUUGUUAUAGCAGCAAUAGGAAAAUAAUACAGUGUUGCAAUAGAAAUGACACUAAAUUUAUAUAUUAAUUUUGUGAAAACUAACAUUUCUACAGUGUUAGUCUUCUCAUUCAAGAACAUAAUCUCUCACAGAUUAGUAGUUACCAGAGGGGAAGAGGGUGGGGGUGGGCUGGGUGAAAGGCAUAA